GAUGAACGCUGGCGGCGUGCCUAAUACAUGCAAGUCGAGCGAACGGACGAGAAGCUUGCUUCUCUGAAGUUAGCGGCGGACGGGUGAGUAACACGUGGAUAACCUACCUAUAAGACUGGGAUAACUUCGGGAAACCGUAGCUAAUACCGGAUAAUAUUUUGAACCGCAUGGUUCAAAAGUGAAAGACGGUCUUGCUGUCACUUAUAGAUGGAUCCGCGCUGCAUUAGCUAGUUGGUAAGGUAACGGCUUACCAAGGCAACGAUGCAUAGCCGACCUGAGAGGGUGAUCGGCCACACUGGAACUGAGACACGGUCCAGACUCCUACGGGAGGCAGCAGUAGGGAAUCUUCCGCAAUGGGCGAAAGCCUGACGGAGCAACGCCGCGUGAGUGAUGAAGGUCUUCGGAUCGUAAAACUCUGUUAUUAGGGAAGAACAUAUGUGUAAGUAACUGUGCACAUCUUGACGGUACCUAAUCAGAAAGCCACGGCUAACUACGUG
Molecule: ribosomal RNA, 497 nt
Filed under: uncultured bacterium
Lineage: Bacteria
Description: partial 16S ribosomal RNA
Rfam family: Bacterial small subunit ribosomal RNA
Source: RNAcentral